RNAcentral lists this ribosomal RNA (1149 nucleotides) under Klebsiella pneumoniae. Its description in RNAcentral is "partial 23S ribosomal RNA". It matches the Rfam family "Bacterial large subunit ribosomal RNA", at positions 419 to 1574 of the family's 2925-position model. Lineage: Bacteria; Pseudomonadati; Pseudomonadota; Gammaproteobacteria; Enterobacterales; Enterobacteriaceae. The record is from RNAcentral.
GGGACACGUGGUAUCCUGUCUGAAUAUGGGGGGACCAUCCUCCAAGGCUAAAUACUCCUGACUGACCGAUAGUGAACCAGUACCGUGAGGGAAAGGCGAAAAGAACCCCGGCGAGGGGAGUGAAAAAGAACCUGAAACCGUGUACGUACAAGCAGUGGGAGCACCUUCGGGUGUGACUGCGUACCUUUUGUAUAAUGGGUCAGCGACUUAUAUUCUGUAGCAAGGUUAACCGUAUAGGGGAGCCGCAGGGAAACCGAGUCUUAACUGGGCGUUAAGUUGCAGGGUAUAGACCCGAAACCCGGUGAUCUAGCCAUGGGCAGGUUGAAGGUUGGGUAACACUAACUGGAGGACCGAACCGACUAAUGUUGAAAAAUUAGCGGAUGACUUGUGGCUGGGGGUGAAAGGCCAAUCAAACCGGGAGAUAGCUGGUUCUCCCCGAAAGCUAUUUAGGUAGCGCCUCGUGAAUUCAUCUUCGGGGGUAGAGCACUGUUUCGGCUAGGGGGUCAUCCCGACUUACCAACCCGAUGCAAACUACGAAUACCGAAGAAUGUUAUCACGGGAGACACACGGCGGGUGCUAACGUCCGUCGUGAAGAGGGAAACAACCCAGACCGCCAGCUAAGGUCCCAAAGUCAUGGUUAAGUGGGAAACGAUGUGGGAAGGCACAGACAGCCAGGAUGUUGGCUUAGAAGCAGCCAUCAUUUAAAGAAAGCGUAAUAGCUCACUGGUCGAGUCGGCCUGCGCGGAAGAUGUAACGGGGCUAAACCAUGCACCGAAGCUGCGGCAGCGACACUAUGUGUUGUUGGGUAGGGGAGCGUUCUGUAAGCCUGCGAAGGUGACCUGUGAGGGUUGCUGGAGGUAUCAGAAGUGCGAAUGCUGACAUAAGUAACGAUAAAGCGGGUGAAAAGCCCGCUCGCCGGAAGACCAAGGGUUCCUGUCCAACGUUAAUCGGGGCAGGGUGAGUCGACCCCUAAGGCGAGGCCGAAAGGCGUAGUCGAUGGGAAACAGGUUAAUAUUCCUGUACUUGGUGUUACUGCGAAGGGGGGACGGAGAAGGCUAUGUUAGCCGGGCGACGGUUGUCCCGGUUUAAGCAUGUAGGCUGGUUGUCCAGGCAAAUCCGGAUAAUCAAGGCUGAGGUGUGAUGACGAGG